Long non-coding RNA from Centruroides sculpturatus (bark scorpion), 407 nucleotides. RefSeq lists it as uncharacterized. The transcript is spliced from 3 exons. The record is from RefSeq and is a predicted model, not a curated record. NCBI's taxonomy places the organism in Eukaryota, Metazoa, Arthropoda, Arachnida, Scorpiones, Buthidae.
UUCUAACAUUUUAAAUUUAUUCACAGUUUAUAAUCUAAUGACAAUUAAUUUUGCUAGUUAUAAAAAUAUAAAAUAAAAUAUUAAAAUAAGUAUAUAUUUCUAAAUGAAUAUUAAAAUUUCAGGUUUUGGAUGACAGAGAACCUCUGACGACAAUAACCGAAGCGAAGGACACACUCUUUACUCACGAAUCAGUGCAUUUGUUAUCGCGGACGAUCCAAGGAACAUAUUACAGCGAUGGAGGUGGAUUUGAUUACGAUCAGUCUUGGGUCUGUGCCAUGUGCAAUCUUCCUUCUUUACAUCGACGCCAUGUAGCUGUUGCUCGGUUAAAACACCCUGCCAACAUGGGCCGAACAUUGCAUGAUGUUCGAUUUUUUAUUCUGGUGCUUACUCCCAGUAAAGAGGUAAGA